ACGAACGCUGGCGGCGUGCUUAACACAUGCAAGUCGAACGGAAAGGCCCGCUUGCGGGUACUCGAGUGGCGAACGGGUGAGUAACACGUGGGCAACCUGCCCUCAGCUUUGGGAUAACUCCCGGAAACGGGUGCUAAUACCGAAUAUUGACUUCUGGUCGCAUGGCUGGUGGUUGAAAGUUUUUCGGCUGAGGAUGGGCCCGCGGCCUAUCAGCUUGUUGGUGGGGUAAUGGCCUACCAAGGCGACGACGGGUAGCCG
RNAcentral lists this ribosomal RNA (258 nucleotides) under Nakamurella sp. ISO769_OTU6999. RNAcentral describes it as "partial 16S ribosomal RNA". It matches the Rfam family "Bacterial small subunit ribosomal RNA", at positions 29 to 289 of the family's 1533-position model. Lineage: Bacteria; Bacillati; Actinomycetota; Actinomycetes; Nakamurellales; Nakamurellaceae. The record is from RNAcentral.